RNAcentral lists this ribosomal RNA (478 nucleotides) under uncultured bacterium. Its description in RNAcentral is "partial 16S ribosomal RNA". It matches the Rfam family "Bacterial small subunit ribosomal RNA", at positions 28 to 523 of the family's 1533-position model. The record is from RNAcentral.
GACGAACGCUGGCGGCGUGCUUAACACAUGCAAGUCGAACGGUAAGGCCCUUCGGGGUACACGAGUGGCGAACGGGUGAGUAACACGUGGGUGAUCUGCCCUGCACUUCGGGAUAAGCCUGGGAAACUGGGUCUAAUACCGGAUAGGACCACUGCCUGCAUGGGUGGUGGUGGAAAGCUUUUGCGGUGUGGGAUGGGCCCGCGGCCUAUCAGCUUGUUGGUGGGGUGAUGGCCUACCAAGGCGACGACGGGUAGCCGGCCUGAGAGGGUGACCGGCCACACGGGGACUGAGAUACGGCCCAGACUCCUACGGGAGGCAGCAGUGGGGAAUAUUGGGCAAUGGAGGAAACUCUGACCCAGCGACGCCGCGUGAGGGAUGAAGGCCUUCGGGUUGUAAACCUCUUUCAGUAGGGAAGAAGCGAAAGUGACGGUACCUAAAGAAGAAGCACCGGCUAACUAUGUGCCAGCAGCCGCCGUAA